CCUACGGGUGGCAGCAGUGGGGGAUAUUGCACAAUGGGGGAAACCCUGAUGCAGCGACGCCGCGUGGGUGAAGAAGUAUUUCGGUAUGUAAAGCCCUAUCAGCAGGGAAGAAAGAAGACGGUACCUGACUAAGAAGCCCCGGCUAACUACGUGCCAGCAGCCGCGGUAAUACGUAGGGGGCGAGCGUUAUCCGGAUUCACUGGGUGUAAAGGGAGCGUAGACGGCCGUGCAAGCCAGGAGUGAAAGCCCGGGGCCCAACCCCGGGACUGCUCUUGGAACUGUGCGGCUGGAGUGCGGGAGGGGCAGGCGGAAUUCCUGGUGUAGCGGUGAAAUGCGUAGAUAUCAGGAGGAACACCAGCGGCGAAGGCGGCCUGCUGGACCGCGACUGACGUUGAGGCUCGAAAGCGUGGGGAGCGAACAGGAUUAGAUACCCGGGUAGUC
RNAcentral lists this ribosomal RNA (441 nucleotides) under uncultured bacterium. Its description in RNAcentral is "partial 16S ribosomal RNA". It matches the Rfam family "Bacterial small subunit ribosomal RNA", at positions 338 to 795 of the family's 1533-position model. The record is from RNAcentral.